RNAcentral lists this ribosomal RNA (445 nucleotides) under uncultured bacterium. RNAcentral's name for it is "bacterial SSU rRNA". It matches the Rfam family "Bacterial small subunit ribosomal RNA", at positions 331 to 792 of the family's 1533-position model. The record is from RNAcentral.
CCAGACUCCUACGGGAGGCAGCAGUCGGGAAUAUUGCACAAUGGAGGAAACUCUGAUGCAGUGACACCGCGUAUAGGAAGAAGGUUUUCGGAUUGUAAACUAUUUUAGACAGGGAAGAAAAAAGACAGUACCUGUAGAAUAAGCUCCGGCUAACUACGUGCCAGCAGCCGCGGUAAUACGGAGGGUGCGAGCGUUAAUCGGAAUUACUGGGCGUAAAGCGCUCGUAGGCGGUAUGUCAAGUCAAGGGUGAAAUCCCCGCGCUCAACCUGGGAACUGCAUUCGAAACUGGCAGGCUGGAGUCUUGUAGAGGGGGGUAGAAUUCCAGGUGUAGCGGUGAAAUGCGUAGAGAUCUGGAGGAAUACCGGUGGCGAAGGCGGCCCCCUGGACAAAGACUGACGCUCAGGUGCGAAAGCGUGGGGAGCAAACAGGAUUAGAUACCCCCGUA